This 494-nucleotide ribosomal RNA is filed under the name uncultured bacterium. RNAcentral's name for it is "partial 16S ribosomal RNA". It matches the Rfam family "Bacterial small subunit ribosomal RNA", at positions 28 to 507 of the family's 1533-position model. The record is from RNAcentral.
GACGAACGCUGGCGGCGUGCUUAACACAUGCAAGUCGAACGGUGAAGCGCCUUCCUUUUUGGUGGGUGUGGAUGAGUGGCGAACGGGUGAGUAACACGUGAGUAACCUGCCCCCUUCUUCUGGAUAACCGCAUGAAAGUGUGGCUAAUACGGGAUAUUCUGGGUCUGUCGCAUGAUGGGUCUGGGAAAGAUAUUGUUUCGGUGGGGGAUGGGCUCGCGGCCUAUCAGCUUGUUGGUGGGGUGAUGGCCUACCAAGGCGGUGACGGGUAGCCGGCCUGAGAGGGUGGACGGUCACACUGGGACUGAGACAAGGCCGAGACUCAUAUGGGAGGCAGCAGUGGGGAAUAUUGCACAAUGGGGGCAAGCCUGAUGCAGCGACGCCGCGUGAGGGAUGGAGGCCUUCGGGUUGUGAACCUCUUUCGCCAGUGAAGCAGGCCUGCCUCGUAUGUGGGUGGGUUGACGGUAGCUGGAUAAGAAGCGCCGGCUAACUACGUG